AGCAGAUAUAUGCCCAAAUACUUAUAAAAAUCUUUGUCUUAGUAUCAAUAGACAAAAUGGACAAAUGGGAAGGGAGGAUAUCUGGGAACAACUCAAAUAACCAACUAUGGCACACCAUCUAAUAGAGUGCGCUCAGCCUCUAUAUCCACAAGCUCAGCAUCCACAGAUUGAACUCACGAUGAGUCAAGAACUUUGAAAGAACAAUUGCAUGUGCACUGACCACAUACAGACUUUUUUCCUCCUCCUUUUUGCAAAGAAAGAUUUAUUAAUGUAUUAUGGUCAUGCGGCAGGAAGAGGCAAAGUAAGCACUUCAGCUCCUUUUCUGGGCACAGACAUAAGCUGUACUGCAUGACGUCUCCCUGACUUCCGUGUUGUAUGGAACAAACAAGAUGUAUGUGCUAACACAGCCAGUGACAGAUCAGUGCUCACUGCCUUGCCUGCAUCCUCUAAAGGAAGUCCUCCCUCGCCUUUGCAUGCACACACCUCCUUGGUAACUAUCCGGAGUCCAGGGAGGAAAUCCCUGGGAAGAAUGCAGUGACAAAAAUACUUGGCCACAUCCAGAACUCCCCUGGUGGUAGCUGGUCAGAGCCCAUGAGCUUGCCUUCAAAGCUGUUGGGUUAGAGAAUGAAUCUAGAGUCUGGCACUGUCACAAUCCUAGUGGUAGCCUUAGGAAAAUACCACCCAAGCACUGUCAGUCCUAUUUCUGCUCUUGUUAACUAAGGGUACCAGUAUUUCCUUCAAAAGUGAGUUGGCAGUAUUCGGUAGUAGAAUAUAGCUGCAGUGUCCACUUUUCUUUAUUCAAAGGAAGCAACAAGAAGUCAGAAUGAUAAGAGGACACCGGAGAGGAAGUGGAGGCAUGUAGCACAGGCUGGGGUUAGUGUAACUAGAGCUACACUUGUUGGCCCUUGGUAUAUGCAGGCUCUGUGCUGAGCGCCAUGCACCGCACCUCUGAAUUGUGAGCAUUACUCCCAUUUCACAGCUGGGGAAAUGACAGCCUGAACAUGUGAAGGAAACUGCCUGAGGCCAUCCAGCUUGGAAGUGGCAGAGCCAGAAUUUGAACUCCAGCUGUCGACUACCAAGGCCCCUGUACCUCGUCCCCAGUGCUGCCUGUGAGUGCUAAGGGGCCAGGAUCUUCCCCAGCUGACUUGGAGGGGAUAAAGCAAUAAUCCUCUUCAUAUGACCUCCCUGGGACGCCACUCCCUCAUCUGUUCAGGAAACAGAUAGAAUUAACUGGACUUGGUGGUCCUCUACGUCUCAGUGCUCUGCAGGAGAUACGUUGUAAACAGAGGAGUAGCUCUGCUGCCACCUUGGCCCCUGGGUGUAAACUGCUCGUGAAAAGGAGCUCAGAAUCCUCUGCCUCCUGAGAGACAUCUGGACAUUCAGGGAGGAAAUGUCAGCCACUACCCUGCAGGAGAUGCCAGCAGAAGCUUGAAGAAAAGCCAGCUUUACACUAAACUGCUCAGCCCACGGAAAACACCUGGGAGCCAUUUACCACUAGGACGCACAAGCGAAAUAUUUCUCUGCUAAAUCCAAGUCCACUGUGUAAUUAGGUCCCUCUGCAGCCCUAUUGUUCUCCAUCACUAUUGUCAUUUCCUUCACAACAUGUGCUACAGGUGUUUCUUGUGGUUUGUCGAUUGCCUGUCUCCACCUCUAGAGGCAGCUGGUCCACUAAGGUCCAGCACACAGAAAGUCUCAGAUGUCUGUCAUAUUAAUCUUUAAA
Perognathus longimembris pacificus (Pacific pocket mouse) is the source of this 1720-nucleotide long non-coding RNA. RefSeq lists it as uncharacterized. The record is from RefSeq and is a predicted model, not a curated record. The transcript has 4 exons. Lineage: Eukaryota; Metazoa; Chordata; Mammalia; Rodentia; Heteromyidae.